UAGAAUGGUUUCAAGCAUGCUCAUAGAAUAUGGUAACAUUCUGGAACCAUAAGAUUCUUAAAUCUGCUGGGGACUAAUAUGGAGGCGCCAAAGGGAUUUCAAAAAAAUAAGAUUUAUAUUGUGGCUCAGAAGCAUCCACUAUGGUCAAACCUGACUCAUUCUUCUUCUUUCUGUGAAAAGAAGCUUACAGCAACGGGAUUUCUGCCAGAACUGAACUCAGCCGCUUCCCUGGGAAUGUUGUCCAGUUGUUAAUUUCACUACCGGAACUGUGUUCCCUCGCGUUCUGGCCUAUUUCCAUGCGUGCCUCCACUGGAAUAAAGGGUCUGACAGUUCUGUGGAUAAUGGGAGACAUUUUCAUCUAAACAUACUGAAAAGUGAUAAUCCUCCAGGGUUCUUGUCUAGGUGUUAAAUUGUUGUGGAUGUCCCCAACCUCCUGGCUGUUUGCUCUUGCCAAUCCAGCUUAGCAGCUGCCUGCUCAU
Molecule: long non-coding RNA, 479 nt
Filed under: Equus caballus (horse)
Lineage: Eukaryota; Metazoa; Chordata; Mammalia; Perissodactyla; Equidae
Description: lncRNA (ENSECAG00000032170.2)
Source: RNAcentral